GUGGUUCUUAACCUGGAGUCCUCAAACGGGGGGCCCGGCCGAUCCACUGGGGGCCCCGGCCCGGCCGAUCCACUGGGGGGAGGGGUACCCCAGUGGGAUCAGUCACACACUUCAAAGUGUACACUAUAUUAACGUUAGGGACCAGUCACACACUUCAAAGUGUACAGUAUUUUAAUGAUCGGAUAAAUCAGGCGUACAUCAAGUAUACAACAGAAUACUAACAGAUCUAGAAUCAGAGAGAAGACAUGAUCAGUUUCUACAUUACCCCCCCAGACGGAUCACAUCGACAUGAUCCGUUUCUACAUUACCCCCCCAGAGGGAUCACAUCAACAUGAUCAGUUUCUACAUUACCCCCCCAGACGGAUCACAUUGACAUGAUCAGUUUUCAGGCAUGUUUCACGGUUAGUAAAGAGAGAAAGAGAGAACAGGGGCACGGGAGAGAAAACAGGGGCGCGGGAGAGAAAACAGGGGCGCGGGAGAGAAAACAGGGGCGCGGGAGAGAAAACAGGGGCGCGGGAGAGAAAACAGGGGCGCGGGAGAGAAAACAGGGGCGCGGGAGAGAAAACAGGGGCGCGGGAGAGAAAACAGGGGCGCGGGAGAGAAAACAGGGGCACGGGAGAGAAAACAGGGGCGUGGGAGAGAGAACAGGGGCGCGGGAGAGAGAACAGGGGCUCGGGAGAGAGAACAGGGGCGCGGGAGAGAGAACAGGGGCACGGGAGAGAGAACAGGGGCACGGGAGAGAGAACAGGGGCACGGGAGAGAGAACAGGGGCACGGGAGAGAGAACAGGGGCACGGGAGAGAGAACAGGGGCACGGUAGGCAUCUCUCUCAUUUCACACCGUCUCCUUAACGACGGACAUGUUUCAGUACGAUACAGUUAAUUUCAAACCGUUGACAGAAGCGCUGCGUCGUGGUCCUGAACACAGCCUACCAUCAUCAUCAUCAUCCUCAUCAUCAUCAUGGCACUAAAACCAGAGCAGCAGAGUCGUGGUCCUGAACAGAGCCGAGUCGUAGCAAGCAAAGCCCAGGGAUCACCGUCCGUUCUUAAAAACACUGACGUCGCCUUUUCGCGACGUAAACAAGAGUUUCUAUUUGACAACACUUCAGGCAGGUCCCGUUCCAGAUGCUUCCGGUUGGUUCCUAGUGAAUCCAUCCUUGUUCCACUGCGGUCCAGUCCUCCACCGGGUCAGUAACGGUCCAGUCCCCCGGGGUCGGUAACGGUCCAGUCCCCCCGGGUCGGUAACGGUCCAGUCCCCCGGGUCGGUAACGGUCCAGUCAAUAACGGUCCAGUCAGUAACGGUCCAGUCCUCCACCGGGUCAGUAACGGUCCAGUCAAUAACGGUCCAGUCCUCCACCGGGUCGGUAACGGUCCAGUCAAUAACGGUCCAGUCCCCCCCGGGGUCGGUAACGGUCCAGUCCCCCCCGGGGUCGGUAACGGUCCAGUCAGUAACGGUCCAGUCAGUAACGGUCCAGUCAGUAACGGUCCAGUCUCCCCCGGGUCAGUAACGGUCCAGUCAGUAACGGUCCAGUCUCCCCCGGGUCAGUAACGGUCCAGUCUCCCCCGGGUCAGUAACGGGUCAGUAAUGGCACUUCUCAGGGUUGGUCCAACAGCCUGGGUCUGAAUCUUAACAGCUGUUAGCCUGCUGAACUGAAGCCAAGGCAUUAACUUGGGGGAGCUAACAAGUCUUCAGUAAACAGUCCUGGAAUUAUCCCAAAGCAGGAGAGGGGCUGGUGUAGUCAGUGGGCAGAGCUAAGGUACGGCAGCUCCACCCAUAAUGCACUGGGCUAAGGUCACAGAGGUCGUGACCACUUCUGACCCUGCCCACAUCAGGGGUUAAAGUUCAUAUAGCAGAGAUAUUAAAAAAAAAAAACAGUCAUGAUCCUGAAGGAUGAUGAAACACAAUCAGUGUGUGUGUGUGUGUGUGUGUGUGUGUGUGUGUGGUGGGGGUCAGAGUUCAUAUGGUCCGUUUGACACAGGGUCGUCCACUGAGGUGGGAACAUAUGGCUGCUCAACCAAUCAGCAUCCUCUAACAUGUCCACACCUAGACACAGAAAGAGAGAGAGAGGAGGAGAGACAAGCGAGACACAAGAAAGAGAGAGCGAAAGACAGAGAGAGAGAGAAAACACAGUGAGGGAUAUUGGAAUGGAUUGCCUGACUGACUAACCCUUCCACUACAAUUUUCACGGCCCCAAAAAUCCAGAGUGGCGUCGCAGUGUCAGAGGCGUCACUACAGACCCUGGUUCGAUCCCGGGCUCUAUCACAACCGGCCGUGAUAGGGCGGCGCACAAUUGGCCCAGCGUCGUCCGGGUUGGGGGGGGAGGGGCACCUGCAGGCUGACCAGUUAAACGGUGUUUCCGCCGACACAGCAACCUUCCCACUAGCCAUGAUUGGCUGAGAUAAUGAGUGGGCUGGACAUGCCGAGAGAGUAGUAGUUCGGAUUGGUCCUGCCAUAUAGAAGGCUUCUCUAUCUAUUCGAGCUCGUCAGUCUGUCUUGGUAAUGUAGUAGAGCUGCGUAAGUGUUGCUCUCCACUUUCUGGAGGAUCAAGUUUUGAAAAAUCUGUGGAAAUUAGAGUCUGAUAGCUAAGGAGAUGGAGGAAACACCUGUCUCCGGGAUUACAUCUUCAAAACUAAGGGCAACCGUGGCGUGGCAUCCGUGACAGGGAGAGGCGUCCAUCAUGGAUCAUGGAUGUAUACGGGUAAGAUAGCUUGUUACAUUUUCAGAUAUUACACGUUUUCUAAUUUUGACAGAAUGGGGUUUUCAUUUCAAGCUAAAGUGCACCGUUAGCUAGCUAGCUACGGGUCUGAAGCUAAAGUGCACUGUUAGCUAGCUAGCUAACGUUAGCCGGCUGGCUCAUUAGCUAACGUUAGCCGGCUGGCUCAUUAGCUAACGUUAGCCGGCUGGCUCAUUAGC
RNAcentral lists this long non-coding RNA (2912 nucleotides) under Salmo salar (Atlantic salmon). RNAcentral describes it as "lncRNA (ENSSSAG00000118671.1)". Lineage: Eukaryota; Metazoa; Chordata; Actinopteri; Salmoniformes; Salmonidae. The record is from RNAcentral.